Parelaphostrongylus tenuis is the source of this 74-nucleotide non-coding RNA. Lineage: Eukaryota; Metazoa; Nematoda; Chromadorea; Rhabditida; Metastrongylidae. The record is from the annotation of a GenBank genome assembly.
GCGUCAAUGGUGAAAUGGGUUAGAGCACGCGCCCCGGACAAAGUGAGAUGCAGGUUCGAGUCCUGCCUGACGCG